AGUGAACGCUGGCGGUAGGCCUAACACAUGCAAGUCGAACGGCAGCACAGUAAGAGCUUGCUCUUACGGGUGGCGAGUGGCGGACGGGUGAGGAAUACAUCGGAAUCUACUUUUUCGUGGGGGAUAACGUAGGGAAACUUACGCUAAUACCGCAUACGACCUACGGGUGAAAGCAGGGGAUCUUCGGACCUUGCGCGAUUGAAUGAGCCGAUGUCGGAUUAGCUAGUUGGCGGGGUAAAGGCCCACCAAGGCGACGAUCCGUAGCUGGUCUGAGAGGAUGGUCCGCCACCCUGGAACUUGGACACGGUCCAGACUCCUACGGGAGGCCGCCGUUGGGAAUAUUUGACAAUUGGCGCAAGCCUGAUCCAACCAUACCGCGUUGGUGAAGAAGGCCUUCGGGUUGUAAAGCCCUUUUGUUGGGAAAGAAAAGCAGCAGGUUAAUACCCCGCUGUUCUGACGGUACCCAAAGAAUAAGCACCGGCUAACUUCGUG
RNAcentral lists this ribosomal RNA (492 nucleotides) under uncultured bacterium. RNAcentral's name for it is "partial 16S ribosomal RNA". It matches the Rfam family "Bacterial small subunit ribosomal RNA", at positions 29 to 507 of the family's 1533-position model. The record is from RNAcentral.